AGAUUGAACGCUGGCGGCAGGCCUAACACAUGCAAGUCGAGCGGUAGAGAGGUGCUUGCACCUCUUGAGAGCGGCGGACGGGUGAGUAAUGCCUAGGAAUCUGCCUAGUGGUGGGGGAUAACGUUCGGAAACGGACGCUAAUACCGCAUACGUCCUACGGGAGAAAGCGGGGACCUUCGGGCCUCGCGCCAUUAGAUGAGCCUAGGUCGGAUUAGCUAGUUGGUGAGGUAAUGGCUCACCAGGCGACGAUCCGUAACUGGUCUGAGAGGAUGAUCAGUCACACUGGAACUGAGACACGGUCCAGACCUCCGUACGGGAGCAGCAGGUAGGGAAUAGUUAGGACAAGUGGGACGAAAGCCUGACUCCGAGCCAGUCGCCGCGUGUGAGGAAGGAGGUUCGUUACGGUAUUUAGAAAGUCUAA
This 421-nucleotide ribosomal RNA is filed under the name uncultured soil bacterium. RNAcentral describes it as "bacterial SSU rRNA". It matches the Rfam family "Bacterial small subunit ribosomal RNA", at positions 26 to 451 of the family's 1533-position model. The record is from RNAcentral.